AUUUAAAUAGUUUAAUAAAAAUUUUGAUUUGUGAAUUCAAAGAUGCAUUUAUGUUUUAAAUA
RNAcentral lists this transfer RNA (62 nucleotides) under Staphylinoidea sp. 7 KM-2017. RNAcentral describes it as "tRNA-His". The record is from RNAcentral. Lineage: Eukaryota; Metazoa; Arthropoda; Insecta; Coleoptera.